AUUGAACGCUGGCGGCAGGCCUAACACAUGCAAGUCGAGCGAGCGGCGGAAGGGUGAGUAAUGUCUGGGAAACUGCCUGAUGGAGGGGGAUAACUACUGGAAACGGUAGCUAAUACCGCAUACCAUCAGAUGGGCCCAGAUGGGAUUAGCUAGUGGGUGGGGUAACGGCUCACCUAGGCGACGAUCCCUAGCUGGUCUGAGAGGAUGACCAGCCACCCUGGGACAGUGACACAAUCCAGACUCCUCCGUGGGGCAGCAGUGGGGAAUAUUCCACAAUGAGCGCAAGCCUGAUGCAGCCAUGCCGCGUGUGUGGAGAAGGCCUUCGGGUUGUACAGCACUUUCAGCGGGGAGGCGUUACCCGCAGAAGAAGCACCGGCUAACUCCGUGCCAGCAGCCGCGGUAAUAC
This 406-nucleotide ribosomal RNA is filed under the name uncultured bacterium. RNAcentral's name for it is "partial 16S ribosomal RNA". It matches the Rfam family "Bacterial small subunit ribosomal RNA", at positions 30 to 526 of the family's 1533-position model. The record is from RNAcentral.